Molecule: unclassified non-coding RNA, 709 nt
Filed under: Hevea brasiliensis (rubber tree)
Lineage: Eukaryota; Viridiplantae; Streptophyta; Magnoliopsida; Malpighiales; Euphorbiaceae
Source: RNAcentral
AUUUUGAAGAUUCCAAAUACAAAGUCUUCCUCCAAGAUGUUGAAGCUCUCCCAAUUCCUUAAUGCUAGAUCCACUAUCCUUCCCUAGAAAAAAAUCAGUCAAUUUUUGGAGCCUUCUUAGUUUGCCCAUUUGUGAUGGCAUCUUUCCCAAUAUAGUCCAACUGAUAUCAAGAUGACAUAAGCUAACUAACCUCACCAUGUUGCUUGGCAACUCAUCAAGAAAUACACAAUAUGCCAAUAUUAAAAUUUGCAAAUUGUACAAACUGCAUAUGGUGUCAGGCAACCUUCUGAUAGAUGUUUUAGAGAGAUCUAGAUAUCGCAAAUGUUUCAAUUUGCCAAUUGAAUCAGGAAACCAAGUUAUGCUAUUAUAAUGUGAUAAAGACAGAACCCGUAGGCGCAUGAGUUUUGGCAACAGAUCAUCAGUUACCUCUGUAUCAAUGUGACUACCCCACCACUGCACUGCAUCCACAUGUAAGAAAGUGCGCAAAUAUUGAGCUUCAUAGACAUGCCCAAAUUUCUUAGAAGCAUCAUGCAGUGUUCUUGCAUAUGACAAAUGUCUUGUCCUUUUAGCAAUCUUAAAAGAAUUAUCACCCUCUAACCAGAAGAAAAAGUCUCCAGAUACAAAUUUAGCCAAGUCAUUUAUGAGGUCAUGCAUAAUGAAGCAUGAUUGAUCACCACUUGACCGCUGAAAAAAUGAUCUUGAUACGAGA